Molecule: ribosomal RNA, 256 nt
Filed under: uncultured bacterium
Lineage: Bacteria
Description: partial 16S ribosomal RNA
Rfam family: Bacterial small subunit ribosomal RNA
Source: RNAcentral
GACGUAGGUGGCGAACGUUAUCCGGAAUUAUUGGGCGUAAAGGGUGCGUAGAUGGCUUGUUAAGUUAGCAGUGGAAAAUCGAGGCUCAACCUCGUGGAAGCUGGUAAUACUGUCAGGCUCGAGUGCAGGAGAGGUUAACGGAACUCCAUGUGGAGCGGUAAAAUGUGUAGAUAUAUGGAAGAACACCAAUAACGGCGAAGGCAGUUAACUAUUCUGUUACUGACAUUGAGACACGAAAGCGUGGGGAGCAAAACGG